Molecule: long non-coding RNA, 770 nt
Organism: Acyrthosiphon pisum (pea aphid)
Lineage: Eukaryota; Metazoa; Arthropoda; Insecta; Hemiptera; Aphididae
Exons: 3
Source: RefSeq, a predicted model, not a curated record
UUUCAUGUGAAAAGUUCUUAUGUCCUAUCCACUCUUAUAUUAUCUAUGGCAUGUCCACGUACAACCUGUAUCAGAAGGACCCAAAUUAGAAAAUCUUACUGACAACUUGAGGAAAUACUUUGAUUCUAAUCAUCCUAUUGUUGGUUCCUACAGUCCAAAACAAGUAGAAAAGUGUGCAGCUAAGGAAGUAUAUAUAUGCAAACUAAGCUUAAGGAAGAUUAACAGUAUUACCUCGCCAAAGUAGAAAAGGUUGCUGGCCUGAGUAUUCAUGUCUUGUAUACUGAUUAUGGUCACAGAACAUCGUGAUUACUCAAGAGUAUGAUAAUUUGCCACCGACUUUUGAAAAUGAUCAACCGUAUGCCAAAGAUUAUGGAUUUGCACUUGUGAAACGACCCAAGUUACUUGAAUAUCAAGAAGAUUCGAUUGCCGUUGUACGUGAUAAGUUCAUUAACAAGAGAAUCAGCAUCAAUGAAGAGCACACUUACGACAAUCUUCAUCACAUUACCGUGAAAGAUGCUGACAAAAAAGAAAAUCUCGUCAAGAAAGAUUCUUGUUAGUUGAAAGACGUUGUGAAAGAUUCCCAUUUGAAAAAUAUGAUGACUGAGUACAUUGAGGCUCAAGAAAAGGCUAAGAAGGAUCGGUGACAUAUGUGGGAGUAUGGUUACAUUACAGAAAAUGACGCUAAAAAAUUUGGUUGGCUAAAUAAAUGCGCUCAGUUUCACUUUUUCACACUUUGGAUUCAUAUAGAAUAAUGUUUUUCUAGACUUAAG